CCAUAUCAUGUUGAAACAACGGUUCUCGUACGAUCAACGAAGUUAAGCAACGUCGGGCCUUGUCAGUACCUAGAUGGGUCAACGCUUGGGGAUACCAGCUGCAGC
This is a non-coding RNA of Acanthosepion pharaonis, 105 nucleotides long. The record is from the annotation of a GenBank genome assembly. NCBI's taxonomy places the organism in Eukaryota, Metazoa, Mollusca, Cephalopoda, Sepiida, Sepiidae.